This 88-nucleotide transfer RNA is filed under the name Candidatus Zixiibacteriota bacterium. RNAcentral describes it as "tRNA-Ser". It matches the Rfam family "tRNA". Rfam says of the family: Transfer RNA (tRNA) molecules are approximately 80 nucleotides in length. Their secondary structure includes four short double-helical elements and three loops (D, anti-codon, and T loops). Lineage: Bacteria; Pseudomonadati; Candidatus Zixiibacteriota. The record is from RNAcentral.
GGAGAGGUGGCUGAGUGGUCGAAAGCGGCGGUCUCGAAAACCGUUGUACCCUCGGGUACCCUGGGUUCGAAUCCCAGCCUCUCCGCCA